This is a long non-coding RNA of Falco peregrinus (peregrine falcon), 2711 nucleotides long. RefSeq lists it as uncharacterized. Lineage: Eukaryota; Metazoa; Chordata; Aves; Falconiformes; Falconidae. The record is from RefSeq and is a predicted model, not a curated record. The transcript has 3 exons.
GAGGGGUCCUGCUGCCCCUCCUGGCACUGGGGAUGUGCUGGGAAGUGGCCACGCUCUGAGGCUACCUGGCUUCUCCAGGCAUCUGGCCCUGUGUCACCAGGACAUCUGACAGGCUCUGGAGCUGGAGCCACAGCAUGGAGCCACCCAGGUCCUGAGGUGGAGGCUGCUGAGACAAGUCCAGGAGGCCAAGGCCCCGUGUGGGACCCUGCUCAAGAAGAUAAGCUUUGCCAUCGAGAGUGACCCCUUGGCCACCAAAUUCUUCACCUUCGGGUAGUGAGAGGGUCACCGUGGCUGGGUGGCUCCAUUGGCCUGUGAGCUCUCCUGUGUCUGUCCAUGUGUCCCGGGGGACUCUCCUCCAAUGGCUCAAGAACUUCAGUGCAGCCUGCAAGGACUUAGCCAGGGCAAGGGAGCUGGGUGCUCCAGGGGGCCCAGCAGCCCUGGAGGCUUGGUGGCAGCUGGCACUUGCCUACAACAACUGUGCUGUGCACUGCUACAGCCUAGGCUGAUCUGAUGAGGCUGUGCUGCUCCUUGGCAAGGUUCUGCAGGAUGAGAGGAGGGAGAAGGGGCUCUGUGUCAACAGAGGAGGCAAGCAGCUGGGCUGGGAAUCACAGUGGGUUCCCAGGGUGAGGGCUGAGGUGUCACACAGCAGUGUCUGCACUCAGGCAUUGAGUGUGUGCUGGGGAAGGCCCUGUGCUUUGGGGAGUAGCGACUGAAAUGGGCAAUAGGGCCCCUGAGUUCUCCCAUGGUCCUGACCCCAGUUCACAGUCGUGCCUGCCUGGAGUGUUUCAGCAGUGGGGAGGGCACCAGGGGCUGGGAUUUACCACUGGUGGUUUGGCUCCCUCCCUGUGAGGUUGGGAAUGGCUGCUCUCUUCCAGACUGUGCUGUAUCUCCUGCCCGGCAGAGCUCAGAGCUUUUGGCUAAUGAUGCUGAAAUCUUUGUGGCAGGGGUGGGCUGGACACGCGCGGUGCAUGUUUCCUACUGGCGUGGAGAGCUCCAGACAAAGCCCGGAGGUGGCAGCCAGCCCCCAGUCGCUCUCAUUUAACUGAGACGCUGACGCUGCCUCAGCGCAGAGGGGUUCCUUCGCCUGCGGGAGCUGGCCUAUGCACUAGCAGAUUACCAGCAGGCGCUGGAGCUGAGCCCGUGGGACUGUGCUGAGCAGAGAUGGGUUGCAGCAGCACUGCGUGAGUAGGGACAGCAGGAUUUGGUGGCAAGGUGCAGGCUGCCCCAGGGCUGGUGGUGACCCAGGCUGCCCAGCGUGCUUGCUCCUGGCCCCUCGCAGGCAGUACCAGCAGGAAGAAGCUCAGUUCUCCGUGGCUGCCCCCACAAACCACUGUACUACCUGUGCCGGGCCGGGGCCUGCCUGUGCCUGGGGAGGAUGCCCACCCUAAGCCUGUGGCUCGACCCCAGGGACAGCGAGGUACUGCGCUGCUCCCCGAUGCCCUCCUCAGGCCAUGGGUGAUGUUCUCAGCUUGUCGCCUCUACUGCACUCUCUGCGCCUACCCCUCAUGCAGUUUGAGGCAAGCCUGGAGUUUUAUUUCUUCAUCAGGGGCCAGCAGCUGAUCAAGGAUGAGGGACUGGGGUCAGGGGUCCUGCCAGAGUGUGGGUCCAAGCCAAGCAGUGAGGGUUAUAGCCUGGCUCUUUAAACAGCCUUGUGCCAGAGCCACUGGGCAGGUCUCUUUCCUCCUUAUUUUCAUUUCCCUGUUGCUUUGACCCUAAUUGAGGGCUGGAGCCCUCUCCUGUGUGUGGCUGUGGUAAGGGGAACAUCUUCACACAGCCAUCGCCCAGCAUGGGCACCGCUCAGGGCAGCUGCAUGGCUUGAUUAAUCUGGGUUUGGUUUGAGGUGAAACCCAGGCUCCCCGCUGGCACAGGUCCUGGUGGGGCUGACGGGGCCUUUGCUGGCAGCACAAGGUGGGUAUUUGGCUGUGGUGGUGGAAACUCUGUGCCUCAGUGCUCAGAGCUCACUGUGGGGAACAGUUUUUCCAUGGAGGAGAUCCAGGUCUCACCUUGUCACCACUGCACAUCCUUUCCCAUGUAUGCUGCCGCUUUGCAAGAAAGACUGUCAGUGCUGCCCCAAGGAGUGAUACAGGACACCUUGCCCUUCACCUUGGAGAAAAUGCUUCAGAGCCCACCCAGAACUCGCCAUUUCAGCUGAUGUUGCCUGCUGUGAUAGCAGCAAUAGGUGACAGUGGGUUGCUGAAUGUCUGUGCUUGGCCUUGGAACCCUGUUCCAAGCAGGCUGCCGAUGGCACUAGAGGACCAUUGGAAGGAACAGGUGUCUGAGGGCGCAGCGCUGCACAUGAGGGACAGCGACUCGGGUGAGCAAUCCUGGGGUGCCGUGGCAGGGUCUGCAGGCUUGCAUCUCGCACCCAGCCAGCAUGCAGAGCGGCAGCAAUAGCUGCUGCAGAAGCAGCUUGUCUGCCAUGGCACCCACCUGGCACCUUGCCUCUGCUCUCAGCUCCAUGUGCGUGGGGCCACCAAGCAGGUUCACAGAGCGACUGUCCCUGGGAAGGAGGUGAUGCAUCUCUCACCUGCUGUGCUUGCACUCACCCUGACACGUGGCCUUGGGACCCAGGGAUGUGCUCUGCAGUGGGGGUAAAGUGCUGCUAGGGCAGAGAGACCCAGUGGCCUUCCUGGACCCACGCUGGCUCCUCUGCAGAGGAUGCUGGGUCCAGCUACUGCUGUUUUGCCUCCUUCCUGGGUAAAGGCCGCUGU